This 349-nucleotide ribosomal RNA is filed under the name uncultured bacterium. Its description in RNAcentral is "partial 16S ribosomal RNA". It matches the Rfam family "Bacterial small subunit ribosomal RNA", at positions 338 to 685 of the family's 1533-position model. The record is from RNAcentral.
CCUACGGGAGGUAGCAGUGAGGAAUAUUGGUCAAUGGUCGGGAGACUGAACCAGCCAAGCCGCGUGAGGGAUGAAGGUACAGAGUAUCGUAAACCUCUUUUGUCAGGGAACAAAGGCGGGGACGUGUCCCCGGAUGAGUGUACCUGAAGAAAAAGCAUCGGCUAACUCCGUGCCAGCAGCCGCGGUAAUACGGAGGAUGCGAGCGUUAUCCGGAUUUAUUGGGUUUAAAGGGUGCGCAGGCGGAAGAUCAAGUCAGCGGUAAAAUUGAGAGGCUCAACCUCUUCGAGCCGUUGAAACUGGUUUGUUUGGGGGGGCGGGAAGUAUGGGGAAGGCGGGGUGUAGCGGGGAA